Long non-coding RNA from Hippoglossus stenolepis (Pacific halibut), 1592 nucleotides. RefSeq lists it as uncharacterized. The record is from RefSeq and is a predicted model, not a curated record. The transcript has 2 exons. Lineage: Eukaryota; Metazoa; Chordata; Actinopteri; Pleuronectiformes; Pleuronectidae.
CUUUGCUAAAAUACAAAGACAAAAAGACAGAAUAUUAGACCCAUAUUAAAAAAAACUUCAACUGAUUAAUUUAGUAACAAAUAACAGCUUUAAAUAUUGAAGUAAUUUUGAUAAUCUUCCUGAUCAUCAUCAUCCUUCUCUUUUACCUGUGUAUCUUCUUAAAGCCGAUCAUGUAAUCGGGGACAGGACAGCCAGCUUGUUUAAUGACAUUAGCGAUGCUGUUACAAAGAGAUGGAGACAGAAAUAUAUUCAGGGGAAAAGUCAAUCAUUAAUAAUAUCACAUACAUAAACAGGCAUGGGAACUGUACAGACUGAAGCAGCAUGUUUCUGAAAAAGAGUAGAUCCUUUGAUUAAAAUUCAUGUUUAGAGAAAAGUAACCCAAAUCCAACACUAUCCAAUAUUUUACUAUUGUAACAUCACUGUACUGCAGAUAAAUUGUUUUAAUAUUUUAUAUUUUUGUGCUGCAUCAACAUACCUUCGGAGCAGUGGUUUGUCAUCUUCUGUGAAGAAGGUCAUGGCCUUCCCCUGAUGUCCAGCUCGGCCGGUUCGACCUGAGGAACAGCAAACAGGAGAAUAAGUGAGGAACAGAUGAGCAGAGAGAAAAGAGAGGAGCAAGGCCUUAAAGGAGACAACACAGGAUUAGAGCGACUACUUAAAAAUGUAUGCUCAGCGUUAGAUAUGGAAACGGACAAAGCUUUCCGUUUGUACUCUGCCUUCAUUUCAGCCAUAUUUUUGCACGUUUUCUGGAAGCUUAUGGAUACAAUGGAAACAGCACCAGAAAACGUGGGGCAAGACGAAGACAUUUCAUCAAUGGCGGAAGUUGCACUGGUGGGGAAGUCGUAGUUCAGCACGAGGUUGACCCCUUUGAAGUCGAUUCCUCUGGCGAGCAGCGCCGUGCAGAUCAACACCCAAAUCUUACCGGAGCGGAAACUGCUCACCACAUUGUCCCUCUGCAACAGAAGAGGAGGUUAAUCACCAGGCUGCACUUCAGUGACACAGAGAGGACCGACACUGAGGUCUGUUAGAGUGUCUGUGUGUACCUGCUGCUGUGUGCGGUCUGCGUGGAUCACAUCUACAUUGAUGCCUUCAUACACCAGCUCAUGGAAAAGCUCCCGUGCUCGAUCAAUAGACUGAACAAACACCAGCAUGGGAGGAAGAAAACCCUGGAAUAAAGCAAGAAGAACAUGCCUUCAUGUUAAUGUCUCUUCUCUUUAGAGAGUUAGUUUCAUUUGUAAUGACCAUGUCUGAAUGUAAUGAAUGAAUUCGUCACUAUAAACAGAAUCUGCAUGUGAAAAUGCAGAAUCUGUGGGUGAGGGACAAGAUUUUGGGGUUGAAGGCCUUCUGGUUUUGUUUUGUAGUUUGACCAAUCAUGUUUGAGCAGGUAAACAGUCCGUGUGGUGAGAAGAAGAGGCAGAACACAUUGACUGAAAUGUAUCUGCUGUUGAUUUUUUUGCAUUCUUAUGCAGAUAGCUGUUAAUAGAUAUGAGCUCAAAUGUAAUCUGGAUCUAAAACAACUCUGAAAAAAGCAUCGCUGUUUGUGUUUUGUGUGUAAAAACGUUCGACCCCAAAAUAAAGGCUGUUACCCCCAGAAA